Molecule: ribosomal RNA, 339 nt
Filed under: uncultured bacterium
Lineage: Bacteria
Description: bacterial SSU rRNA
Rfam family: Bacterial small subunit ribosomal RNA
Source: RNAcentral
CAAACCGGAGGAAGGUGGGGAUGACGUCAAGUCCUCAUGGCCCUUAUGGGUAGGGCUUCACACGUCAUACAAUGGUCGGUACAGAGGGUAGCCAAGCCGCGAGGUGGAGCCAAUCCCAGAAAGCCGAUCGUAGUCCGGAUUGCAGUCUGCAACUCGACUGCAUGAAGUCGGAAUCGCUAGUAAUCGCGGAUCAGCAUGCCGCGGUGAAUACGUUCCCGGGUCUUGUACACACCGCCCGUCACACCAUGGGAGUGGUUUCACCAAAAGUAGGUAGCCUAACCGCGAGGGGGGCGCUUACCACGGUGGGAUUCAUGACUGGGGUGAAGUCGUAACAAGGUA